This 62-nucleotide transfer RNA is filed under the name Arion ater ater. RNAcentral describes it as "tRNA-Val". The record is from RNAcentral. Lineage: Eukaryota; Metazoa; Mollusca; Gastropoda; Stylommatophora; Arionidae.
UUAUUUAUAGUAUACAAGUACAUAUCAUUUACAAUGAUAAAGCCUAUUCAUUAGUGGAUAAU